GACGAACGCUGGCGGCGUGCUUAACACAUGCAAGUCGAACGGUGAACCUCUUCGGAGGGGAUCAGUGGCGAACGGGUGAGUAACACGUGGGCAACCUGCCCCCGGCUCUGGGAUAACUCCAAGAAAUUGGGGCUAAUACCGGAUGUUCACCGCUUCCCGCAUGGGUGGUGGUGGAAAGGGUUUCCGGCUGGGGAUGGGCCCGCGGCCUAUCAGCUUGUUGGUGGGGUAGUGGCCUACCAAGGCGACGACGGGUAGCCGGCCUGCGAGGGUGACCGGCCACACUGGGACUGAGGCACGGCCCAGACUCCUACGGGAGGCAGCAGUGGGGAAUAUUGCGAAAGGGGCGGAAGCCUGACGCAGAGACGCCGCGUGGGGGAUGACGGCCUUCGGGUUGUAAACCUCUUUCAGCAGGGACGAAGCGCAAGUGACGGUACCUGCAGAAGAAGCACCGGCCAACUACGUG
RNAcentral lists this ribosomal RNA (463 nucleotides) under uncultured bacterium. Its description in RNAcentral is "partial 16S ribosomal RNA". It matches the Rfam family "Bacterial small subunit ribosomal RNA", at positions 28 to 507 of the family's 1533-position model. The record is from RNAcentral.